RNAcentral lists this ribosomal RNA (253 nucleotides) under uncultured bacterium. Its description in RNAcentral is "partial 16S ribosomal RNA". It matches the Rfam family "Bacterial small subunit ribosomal RNA", at positions 524 to 776 of the family's 1533-position model. The record is from RNAcentral.
UACGUAGGGUGCAAGCGUUGUCCGGAAUUAUUGGGCGUAAAGAGCUCGUAGGCGGUCUGUCGCGUCGGAUGUGAAAAUCCAGGGCUUAACCCUGGACCUGCAUUCGAUACGGGCAGACUAGAGUUCGGUAGGGGAGACUGGAAUUCCUGGUGUAGCGGUGAAAUGCGCAGAUAUCAGGAGGAACACCGGUGGCGAAGGCGGGUCUCUGGGCAACAACUGACGCUGAGGAGCGAAAGCGUGGGGAGCGAACAGG